CGAGGACGGUUCAGGACCGUCAUCGGCAUUUUCCCAUUGCCGACCGCUGACGGUCCUGAACCGUCCCAACGGUCCUAGUUACUUACCUGAUCGCGUCGUUCCCCCAGCGGCGAUCAGUGUUGCUCCCGUUGUAGGGAGACUGCCUGCAGCCCAGACAGUCUCCCCACACUGGAUUAGGACCCCUGUGGCCACGUGAUCGCUUAACACAGCGAUCACAUGGUCACAAUAGGUGUCCAUGUGUCU
This is a non-coding RNA of Pelobates cultripes (western spadefoot toad), 243 nucleotides long. NCBI's taxonomy places the organism in Eukaryota, Metazoa, Chordata, Amphibia, Anura, Pelobatidae. The record is from the annotation of a GenBank genome assembly.